RNAcentral lists this ribosomal RNA (490 nucleotides) under uncultured bacterium. Its description in RNAcentral is "partial 16S ribosomal RNA". It matches the Rfam family "Bacterial small subunit ribosomal RNA", at positions 30 to 507 of the family's 1533-position model. The record is from RNAcentral.
AUUGAACGCUGGCGGCAUGCCUUACACAUGCAAGUCGAACGGCAGCAUGAUCUAGCUUGCUAGAUUGAUGGCGAGUGGCGAACGGGUGAGUAAUACAUCGGAACGUGCCCUGUAGUUGGGGAUAACUAGUCGAAAGAUUAGCUAAUACCGCAUACGACCUGAGGGUGAAAGUGGGGGACCGCAAGGCCUCAUGCUAUAGGAGCGUCCGAUGUCUGAUUAGCUAGUUGGUGAGGUAAAGGCUCACCAAGGCGACGAUCAGUAGCUGGUCUGAGAGGACGAUCAGCCACACUGGGACUGAGACACGGCCCAGACUCCUACGGGAGGCAGCAGUGGGGAAUUUUGGACAAUGGGCGAAAGCCUGAUCCAGCAAUGCCGCGUGUGUGAAGAAGGCCUUCGGGUUGUAAAGCACUUUUGUCCGGAAAGAAAUGGCUCUGGUUAAUACCUGGGGUCGAUGACGGUACCGGAAGAAUAAGGACCGGCUAACUACGUG